Molecule: small RNA, 573 nt
Filed under: Pongo abelii (Sumatran orangutan)
Lineage: Eukaryota; Metazoa; Chordata; Mammalia; Primates; Hominidae
Description: retained intron
Source: RNAcentral
AAUUUAACCAUUCUGGAACAUUGUGUUCAGAGCCAGAAAAAUUAAUAGAUUUUAUUCACAUCUAUGUCUACGGCUUCCUUGACAACUACUGCAGACGCCGCUAUCACCAUGGGGAUGGUUCUUCUCAAUGAAGCAGCAACUUCGAAAGGCGAUGUUGGAAAAAGACGGAUAAUUUGCCUAGUGGGAUUGGGCCUGGUGGUCUUCUUCUUCAGUUUUCUACUUUCAAUAUUUCGUUCCAAGUACCACGGCUAUCCUUAUAGUGAUCUGGACUUUGAGUGAGAAGAUGUGAUUUGGACCAUGGCACUUAAAAACUCUGUAACCUCAGGGAAAAGUCCUCAGAUAAAAAUGUCUACCAAAAGACUGACACAUGGAGUUAAUCAUUUGACAGAUGCAAUCCUUCCACGCCAAGCAAAUAUACUUUCUUAACUUCUGUUUGUUAUCACUUAGGGAAAAAAGGCAGUCAACAAAUAUAUUUAAUUCUGUCUAGGAAAAAUGUAACGAAAUCUUUUUUCCCAUUAACAAAUAAUGUAAGCCUUAAUAUUCAAGGGUAAUAAAAAAUCCAAGUCUUCCAAA